This 893-nucleotide ribosomal RNA is filed under the name uncultured Anaerophaga sp. RNAcentral's name for it is "bacterial SSU rRNA". It matches the Rfam family "Bacterial small subunit ribosomal RNA", at positions 39 to 927 of the family's 1533-position model. Lineage: Bacteria; Pseudomonadati; Bacteroidota; Bacteroidia; Marinilabiliales; Marinilabiliaceae. The record is from RNAcentral.
GUGACGGCCUAACACAUGCAAGUCGAGGGGUAACAGGGGCAGCUUGCUGCCUGCUGACGACCGGCGCACGGGUGAGUAACGCGUAUGCAACCUGUCUUUAACAGGAGGAUAGCCCCCGGAAACGGGGAUUAAUACUCCAUGAUACUUGUGUUUCGCAUGAGAUACAAGUUAAAGCUGAGGCGGUUAAAGGUGGGCAUGCGUGACAUUAGCUAGUUGGUGAGGUAACGGCUCACCAAGGCGACGAUGUCUAGGGGUUCUGAGAGGAAGGUCCCCCACACUGGUACUGAGACACGGACCAGACUCCUACGGGAGGCAGCAGUGAGGAAUCUUGGUCAAUGGGCGGAAGUCUGAACCAGCCAUGUCGCGUGCAGGAAGACGGCCCUACGGGUUGUAAACUGCUUUUGUACGGGAAUAAAAGCCAUUACGAGUAGUGGAUUGAAUGUACCGUACGAAUAAGCAUCGGCUAACUCCGUGCCAGCAGCCGCGGUAAUACGGAGGAUGCGAGCGUUAUCCGGACUUAUUGGGUUUAAAGGGUGCGUAGGCGGAACGGUAAGUCAGCGGUGAAAUACUACAGCUCAACUGUAGGGAUGCCGAUGAUACUGUCAUUCUUGAGUAUACUUGAGGCAUGCGGAAUGAGUAGUGUAGCGGUGAAAUGCAUAGAUAUUACUCAGAACACCGAUAGCGAAGGCAGCAUGCUAAGGUAAUACUGACGCUGAGGCACGAAAGCGUGGGUAUCAAACAGGAUUAGAUACCCUGGUAGUCCACGCCGUAAACGAUGAUUACUGGUUGUUUGUCCGUUAAAGGAUAAGCGACUGAGCGNAAAGCAUUAAGUAUCCCACCUGGGGAGUACGUCGGCNACGAUGAACUCAAAGGAAUUGACGGGGGCCCNCCCA